UUUGAGUUAGUGUAUAUCCUGAAGAGUAGGUAGUUUUUAAAACUCGAAGUGGAAACACUGAGCUGUAAGUUGUUUUGAGGGAAUAGGAAUGAGAGGAUAAAUAAGCUCAUCUCUGGUAACAUGCUGAAGGUGAUACAGCUUUUUUAAAUCACUAAUAAAGCUGGGACUCUCUUUUCAUAGGCAUAUACAACUUUGCUAACUGCUUUUUGCUUUCUGUUGUUUGCACAGAAAUAAAUUCAGCUGCUCUGUAGCUUUUGCUAUUGGUGCAAGAGGUAGAAUAAGAGUAAUUUCAUCCUCUCAGUACUUGGAAAGUCUUACAAAAGCCAUGUGACUGUCCUGACUUAGACAUACAAGUUUUCAUUGACAUACUUAGUUUCAGUGAGAUUCUUAACUGAGCUGCAGUAAAUGAUUGGUCUACCUUUAAAGUUGUGAGUAUAGAGAAUAUGAAACAGAUUUGCCAUAAUUAUGCUCCUGAAGAUGUAAAGUCAUUGCCCC
RNAcentral lists this long non-coding RNA (495 nucleotides) under Bos taurus (domestic cattle). Its description in RNAcentral is "long non-coding RNA NONBTAT025123". The record is from RNAcentral. Lineage: Eukaryota; Metazoa; Chordata; Mammalia; Artiodactyla; Bovidae.